Ovis aries (sheep) is the source of this 2947-nucleotide long non-coding RNA. The record is from Ensembl. NCBI's taxonomy places the organism in Eukaryota, Metazoa, Chordata, Mammalia, Artiodactyla, Bovidae.
UAGAGGGGGAAGCACAGAGCUAAAAAUAAAACGAAAAGAUCAGUAUCUGUCAGUCUGACAGCUGAUUGGCUGCUCGGAGAUGCAUAUAAUUACCAGCAACUGGCGCUGGGUAGGCAAAGCCGGGAGAAACUGCUGAGACGAGCUCUGGGUGUCUCCCUUGAAGUCAGGCCCUGACUAUCUGGGUCUGUGAGCCCUAUGGGGGCAGGAACUGCAUGCCUGGCAAGGGCCUGGCCCAGAGCCCCUUGAGAAGACAGAUACCAGAUCCCUAUCAGGAGGAAGAGGAGAAGCCAGCUUGGACCACACUGCCCAGGCUUCCGGCAAGCAAUGGCCUCAGAUGGUGGGAGCCUCAGUACCUGCUGGGUACUGACCCUUUCCCUGUGCUGGGCAGAGCGGCUGCUGCUGGAUGCUAGGCACUAGAAAGCCCAGACUGACUACAGGAGACCCUGCUGGAGCUCCUAUUAAUGAUGAGAUGCAAAGGGCAGGUCGGGGAGGCAAGAGAAGGGUUCGCCCAGCUGUACCUGCCCAUCCUCAACACCUUAAAGCCAUUGUAUCAUUGUUGUUCAGUCGCUCAGUCAUGUUCAACUCUUCGAGACCCCAUGGACUGCAGCACGCCAGACUCCCCUGUCCUAUACCAUCUCCAGGAGUUUGCUCAAACUCAUGUCCAUUGAGUUCAUGAUGCCAUCCAACCAUCUCAUUGAGUCCCCACCAUACCUCGUUGGAGGCAGCGCUGUUGUACCCACAUUUUGCAAAUGAGCAAACUGCGGCCACAAAGCUAGUGAGGGCAGAGCCUGGACGUACCCCGUCCCCCCUCUCCUGCGGCCAAACCCAAUGGCCCCCGCCUCUCUGAGAAGGAUGACAGGGAGGUGCGGGGAACGGAGAUGUUUCGGUAGCAACUGCCGUGAGACCUUCUAGGCAGACACAUUGUCAUGGAGAGUCUUGAGAACGCUUUUUUGUGUGGUGUGCAAAGGAAUUCGCUUUUGGUGUCUCUGAGAGAUCGUCGGGAAGAUUUAAACUGCUUUGCAAUGAUUUGGGGAUGUCAGGCUGAUAUUGCUUUUGAACAUAACAUUGUGACGAGACUGGGCCCCAAGGCAGCCCAGUUUUAUUCAGGUUACGGUAAUAAUAGUCGCCACAGCAGCAACUAAAGCCAUUUUCACGGCCUGAGCACUCACCAUGGGCUCAGUGCCGGGCUCAGCCUUGAUUGGAUGCAAGCUCUCUCACCACCAGCUUGAGAGAGCGUUGACUCUCAUCCUCGGGGUAUUCCCUUAUAGCUGAUACCUAAACCUGUUUGUCUCCACACUCACUGUUUCCCCUGUGAGGCAGUGAGCUUGGUGAAGGCCCCAGUCUGGUCUCUCCCAUUCACUGCUGAGUCCCCAGUACCCAGCACCAGCUCCUCAAGGAGCAGCUGGACAUUAAAGCUUGGCUGGACACAUUUCAGAUGAAGAGGCUGAGGGUCAGAGAGGUCACAUAGCUUGCCAGGAGGGAAUCCUAGGUUUCUGUGGCUUGAGAGCCCAGAAUCACCAACUCACAUGGCAGCUUGAAAGACCCUCUUGAAAAGUCCCUGCCUCAAGAAAGCCACAGAGCACAAGUCUCCCCACCCUCACCCCCUGCCCCCUGGUCUCCACUCUUGUUCUAAACCCCAGGAGGCUUCUGACUUGAAUCUGCCCCCUCUGCACCUCUUGCUUGCUUCCCAGGGAAUUGGAUGGAAGGUAGUCUGAGUUAGCUCAGGCUUGGGGAAGCUGUAUUCUGCUGAAAUUGCCCAGUGUUUUGGGUGGGACGUGAUUCAGAUUUUCCUUCCUGGUCACAUUGGUUCCCACUUGAGAGGUCUUUGAAGUGGGGAUGACUUUACUGGGUGAUUCUUGGCCUGCUUAAUUCAUAGGCACACUUGAUCUUUGCUGCUCCUCUCUGGGAGGGGGCCCCUGGUUCUGAGGGGUUUAAGUCCCGCAGGGAGGCCAGGGGUUAUAAAUCCAAGAUGCUCUUGGUUAAGAGCUUGAUUCUGUCACUGAGUGAUCCUGGGAGCCUCAUUUGGCCUCUCUGAGCCUUGACUGACUCUUUCAUAAAAGGGAGACAUGCAUGGGGAAUAUCUAUCUUGAAUACUGGCUGUCGGUGGGGGAAAAAGAGGUCAAGUUUUCUUUUAUUUAUUUUGGGGCUGCACUGCGCCGCAUGUGGGAUCCUACUUCCCUGGCCAGGGAUCAAACCUGCACCCCCUGCAUUGGAAGCACAGAGUCUUAACCACUGGACCACCAGGGAAGCCCCAAGUGUUCUCUUUUGCAAAAAAAAAUCACAUUCUCCACAAGUCAUAGACUAUGUUUAUCCUGUACUUUAAGAAAUGUUAGUUUAGGGCUUCCCAGGGGGUUAAGAAUCUGCUGCCAAUGCACCGGACAAGGGUUCCAUCCCUGGUCCAGGAAGAUCCCACAUACCUCAGGGUAACUAAGCUGUGAGGCAAAACUACUGAAGUGUGCGCACUCUGGAGCCGCAUGCUCUGGAGCAAGCGAAGCCAACGCAAGGAGACGCCUGAGCACCAAAACUGUGGUGCGUGUUUUAAGACCAUGGUUAUGUUCCUGCCGAGAAGGAUCCGACUCUGAGGCAUUGUCAUUGAGGAUGUGGCAGACACGAGGGGUGGGGAGCUCAAGGCCAUUGCUUCGGAGCGAUGAGAGUUGGCGCUGCAGAGAGCAGGAACCAAAAUCUGAAGCCCCAGUGGUCCCCAGAUACACUGAGGUUCACGGCCAAACACGGGCCCAGAGCCCUGACCAGAACCACUGAUGGUGUGACUGGUGGGACCAGAGGGGACCCAAGGCAAACCAGCCCCCUCAGCCGGAAGAGGAGCUCAGAGAGGCCGGCCAUCUUGUCUUCGUAUAGGACACCAUCGGCCACACUCUGAAUAUCCGGCUGGAAGUGUUUUUGUUUUUAUAUUAGAUGCAACGAUCUAAUGUGCAGUAGGAGCCUACUC